CACACAACAUCAGAGCUGAAAAUACCUUGGGGGAUCAUUGAAGACACCUAGGUCCUGGAGUCGUGGUCAUCAGGAAAAUCACCUGGCACUUCAUGAGAGACACGGAAGAUGUGCGAACCACGGGACCAUCCACCAGCUAGUUCAUGACAUCUUGUUUACCAUAACACUAAAAAGAAAGGGACUCCAAUAGUGUUUUAAGGUUGUUGCGAUGUCCUCUUCAGUCCUUGUCAAAGAGAAAUUCAUGACAGAAGUGCGAACCACAAAGCGAAGAAAGUCGUGGCCCAAAAACAAGUAAGAAAAGUAGGAAGUUAAAUGAGGAGUGACCAACUUUAAUCGGUUCUGUAGCUCCAGGCUUCAAGGAGAAGGAACCCACAGGUGUGCCCAUUGGCCAGCGUCACAGAUGUCAUCCUACAAGCAGUAGACUGUGAUGUAGGAGAAUAGUCAUCGGCUGUCUUCGAUGGCACUUUCUAAGCCAUCUGUAAGGUAAGCUGCUUUUCAAGGAAGGCAAUGAACGCCAAGAAGACAAAGGCAGGUGGUGCACGCACAUAACCUCUGACCUUGGGAAGCUAAGGCAGAAGGCUAGAGAGUUUGAGGUCAGCCUGGGCUAUAUAGUCAGUUCCAGAGUAGCCUGGGCUACCCGCAGAGUGAAACUCUUGUCUCAAAUAUAGAAAUCAGAACAAUAACAACAAUAAACAAAGAAAGGGCCAAAGGAGAAUGUAUGUCACCUGUAUGUGCUAAGCUAGUGUCAGAGCCUGUGCUGAUACCAGCUCUUGGCCCCUCCACUCGGCAUCUGUGAGGGCGAGGGCCUUGAGAAGAUGCCAGCCAAGCACACAGGCCAUCCACAUUGGCCUGGGGAAGAAUGUCAUGGUACGUAGUCAGAACAUUUCUUCAAGAGCUGUAGCUAAGACCGUUCAAACACUGUUCCCCUGCAGGCCUGAAACUUGUCUGGCUUGGUGUGCUGGGCUCGGGGAAGGGAGCAUAGGGACAGCCAUAUAUGAAUAGCAAUCUGUGAAAAGUAGACCUGUCCCACCAAAGUCAAGCCUGCCUUUGUGCAGACUGCUGUCUGCCUGGAGGUUUUCAGGACUGAGUUUGCUAAUGGCAGGAAGCUCAGGAGUUCUAGGUUUUUGCUCCUCAGAUGCAUACUCUUCCUACACAACUGCACAACUCAGGCUUGUCCCGCUGAUCUGCCCCAAACAGCUGGCAUGAGAGAACUUGCCCAUAGUCUCUUACCCAGGAGUGUAGUGGAGAUUAAUGGUAGGGACCUCACAUACCUUGGAGAAAACUGUGUGCUUGCUUCUUUUAGUACACAUUUGGCAGUGUUUCCAUACAGACCUGUCAACUGCCCUGAAAUAAACCAGAGAGGGAAGAGUUAUACAAUUUACCAUAUCCUAAGGGGGCUGGGCCGUGAGGGAGCUUGACACUGUGUCGGUUCAGGAGGAACAGGUAUCUUAGCAGCAAGGCUGAAAGUGUCCUGGGAGUCAGUGAGGUAAUUGGCUGUAGAAUAAAGAGGCCUGUGCUCUAAACAUGGGGGCAGGGAGGGAAAAGGAAAGCUAGGCAGAGCACACUCUUUGAAUGGAAGCCGUGGUAGUCAGUUUUUAAGAAUUCCAACAUCUAAUGAGAGCAAAACUAACAUAGAAUUAGAAGUGGAGAGUUGCUAAUGAAGAUCCGUUCCUACAAAGGAUGGAUCACCGCUGUUGGAUAGACGUGUGAACAGUGUGUGCAUACUCUAUAUGUGCAUUCUCCAGAGCCCCUCAGAGAAGCUCAGGCAAGGAAAAAUCAGGACUGAAAAAUGAAGCUGGACAGAUUCUGACCAGUGGACUGUUAGUGCAGAGGUCCCUGCACUGCACCAGAUCAAAACUCAGCUCGUGGACCCUAAAAAGUCAAGUCAGGAUUUUUACAUGAUUAGUUAUAAAAGUCAAGGAAAGGAAACACUUAGAAAUUUGAUUUUUCAUGAAAAUGAGGCCGGGAGGUGGUGGCACGUGCCUGUAAUCCCAGCACUUGGGAGGCAGGCUCUGUGAGAGUCAAGGCUAGCAUGUUUUACAGAAUGAGUUCUAGGUCAGUUAGGACUGUCACACAGAGAAACCCUAUCUCAAAAAAACCAAUAGAUAGAAAGUCUAUUCUAUUUGGGUAGGUGGGUGGGUGGAUGGAUGGAUGGAUGGAUAGACAGACAGACAGACGACAGGGCUGAAGAGAAAAUGACAUGGCUCUUGAGAUAAAGGCAUUUGCUCUUCAAGCCUGGAGAUCUGAGUUUGUUCCCCAGAACCCACGUAAAGGUGCAAAGAGAGAACCCACUCCACAAAGUUGUCUACUGACCCCCACCCACACAGAGACAUGGUAAUAAUAAAUAAAUUUUAAUUUAAAAAUAAUGGAACACACACACACUGGUCUCCCUGAACUGUAGUAAGAAGAAUGAGCUAGCUCUAAGGUAGAGGCUCUUUCACAGCAACAAGACAGAAUUCAAGGAAGUAAAAUGUUAAGCUCACCACGUACUUCGAGCUAUUGGCAUAGGAUGAGGUGUCCCUAGACUAAGCCCAUUGCCCUAAGAGCUAUCUUUCAGUUUCAGUUUUGAUUGACAUGCAGCCAGGUCUGCUUAGAGAAUUGGGGUCACGCCUUAAAAGUGUGAAAGUGUUCCUGUCUGUGCGCCAUUGUGACGGAUUGCUCGGGGCAAGAACAUCCAGAACACACUUAAUACUGAAGCUCUGGUCUCGGGUGUGUUCAUUCUCUCUGCACUAAGCCAGCCUUGGUUUAAACUUGCCCGGGGCUCUGAAAGUUUACUGAAGCCCGAAGCCUGGAAUCUUCUCCAAAAACAGGAAAUAGGUGCCAGCUUCCUCUGUCCAUGAUAGAACCAAUUUGUGGCCAAAUAUGAAGUAAAAUGUUAAAAAGAUGAAUUAGGCCUCUAGAAAAAAACAUUAAUUUGUAAACAUCAAAUAAACAAACAAAUGAAUAAAUAAAUAAAUAAAUAAAAAGAGAAAGCAAUCAUGCCUUGGUUUUCAGAAUAUUAAAAA
This 3005-nucleotide small RNA is filed under the name Rattus norvegicus (Norway rat). RNAcentral's name for it is "uncharacterized LOC108348805". Lineage: Eukaryota; Metazoa; Chordata; Mammalia; Rodentia; Muridae. The record is from RNAcentral.